CCUACGGGCGGCAGCAGUGGGGAAUAUUGCACAAUGGGGGAAACCCUGAUGCAGCGACGCCGCGUGAAGGAAGAAGUAUUUCGGUAUGUAAACUUCUAUCAGCAGGGAAGAAACUGACGGUACCUGACUAAGAAGCACCGGCUAAAUACGUGCCAGCAGCCGCGGUAAUACGUAUGGUGCAAGCGUUAUCCGGAUUUACUGGGUGUAAAGGGAGCGUAGACGGAGAGGCAAGUCUGAAGUGAAAGCCCGGGGCUCAACCCCGGGACUGCUUUGGAAACUGCAGUUCUAGAGUGCCGGAGAGGUAAGCGGAAUUCCUAGUGUAGCGGUGAAAUGCGUAGAUAUUAGGAGGAACACCAGUGGCGAAGGCGGCUUACUGGACGGUGACUGACGUUGAGGCUCGAAAGCGUGGGGAGCAAACAGGAUUAGAUACCCCUGUAGUC
This 440-nucleotide ribosomal RNA is filed under the name uncultured bacterium. RNAcentral's name for it is "bacterial SSU rRNA". It matches the Rfam family "Bacterial small subunit ribosomal RNA", at positions 338 to 795 of the family's 1533-position model. The record is from RNAcentral.